GUCUAUGGCCAGACCGCCCGGAAUGUGCCUGCUCUUGUUUGAUCUCGGAAGCUAAGCAGGGUCAGGCCUGGUUAGUACUAGGAUGGGAGAAACCCCAACACCUAUGAGAGAAAACUGAUGUGAGUGGUGGGUA
This 133-nucleotide ribosomal RNA is filed under the name Prolemur simus (greater bamboo lemur). Lineage: Eukaryota; Metazoa; Chordata; Mammalia; Primates; Lemuridae. The record is from RNAcentral.